CUGGCUCAGAGCGAACGUUAGCGGCGGGCUUAACACAUGCAAGUCGAGCGAGAAAGGAGGCUUCGGCCUCCGAGUAAAGCGGCGGACGGGUGAGUAACACGUGGGUAAUCUGCCUUUCAGUGGGGGACAACCACCCGAAAGGGUGGCUAAUACCGCAUACGUCAUCUUAUUCUGCGGAACGAGAUGGGAAAGCUAGCCUCUGUUUACAAGCUGGCGCUGAAAGAGGAGCCCGCGGCGCAUCAGCUAGUUGGUGGGGUAAUGGCCUACCAAGGCAAAGACGCGUAGCUGGUCUGAGAGGAUGAUCAGCCACACUGGGACUGAGACACGGCCCAGACUCCUACGGGAGGCAGCAGUGGGGAAUAUUGGACAAUGGGCGAAAGCCUGAUCCAGCCACGCCGCGUGAGUGAUGAAGGGCCCUCGGGGUCGUAAAAGCUCUGUGGGAGAGGGGACGAAAAGCUACGAGGGUUAAAUAGCCUCGGGAGAUGACGGGUACCUCUUUAGCAAAGCACCGGGC
This 514-nucleotide ribosomal RNA is filed under the name uncultured Kofleriaceae bacterium. Its description in RNAcentral is "bacterial SSU rRNA". It matches the Rfam family "Bacterial small subunit ribosomal RNA", at positions 19 to 498 of the family's 1533-position model. Lineage: Bacteria; Pseudomonadati; Myxococcota; Haliangiales; Kofleriaceae. The record is from RNAcentral.